Molecule: ribosomal RNA, 373 nt
Filed under: uncultured bacterium
Lineage: Bacteria
Description: bacterial SSU rRNA
Rfam family: Bacterial small subunit ribosomal RNA
Source: RNAcentral
UAAUACGGAGGAUCCGAGCGUUAUCCGGAUUUAUUGGGUUUAAAGGGUGCGUAGGCGGACUAGUAAGUCAGUGGUGAAAUCCUGCAGCUUAACUGUAGAAUUGCCGUUGGUACUGUUAGUCUUGAGUACAUUUGAGGUAGGCGGAAUGUGGUGUGUAGCGGUGAAAUGCAUAGAUAUACCACAGAACACCGAUUGCGAAGGCAGCUUACUAAACUGUAACUGACGCUGAGGCACGAAAGCGUGGGUAUCAAACAGGAUUAGAUACCCUGGUAGUCCACGCUGUAAACGAUGAUUACCGGUUGUUUGCGAUACACCGCAAGUGACUGAGCGAAAGCAUUAAGUAAUCCACCUGGGGAGUACGUCGGCAACGAUG